This 450-nucleotide ribosomal RNA is filed under the name uncultured bacterium. RNAcentral describes it as "partial 16S ribosomal RNA". It matches the Rfam family "Bacterial small subunit ribosomal RNA", at positions 354 to 796 of the family's 1533-position model. The record is from RNAcentral.
GUGGGGAAUUUUGGACAAUGGGCGCAAGCCUGAUCCAGCAAUGCCGCGUGCAGGAAGAAGGCCUUCGGGUUGUAAACUGCUUUUGUACGGAACGAAACGGUCCUGGUUAAUACCUGGGGCUAAUGACGGUACCGUAAGAAUAAGCACCGGCUAACUACGUGCCAUCAGCCGCGGUAAUACGCAGGGUUCGAGCGUUAAUCGGAAUUACUGGGCGUAAAGCGUGCGCAGGCGGUGCUGUAAGACAGGCGUGAAAUCCCCGGGCUCAACCUGGGAAUUGCGCUUGUGACUGCAGUGCUGGAGUACGGCAGAGGGGGAUGGAAUUCCGCGUGUAGCAGUGAAAUGCGUAGAUAUGCGGAGGAACAACGAUGGCGAAGGCAGUCCCCUGGGCCUGUACUGACGCUCAUGCACGAAAGCGUGGGGAGCAAACAGGAUUAGAAACCCUUGUAGUCC